RNAcentral lists this ribosomal RNA (1330 nucleotides) under Gammaproteobacteria bacterium. RNAcentral's name for it is "partial 23S ribosomal RNA". It matches the Rfam family "Bacterial large subunit ribosomal RNA", at positions 1129 to 2444 of the family's 2925-position model. Lineage: Bacteria; Pseudomonadati; Pseudomonadota; Gammaproteobacteria. The record is from RNAcentral.
AAAGCGUAAUAGCUCACUGGUCGAGUCGGCCUGCGCGGAAGAUUUAACGGGGCUCAAGCUGUGUACCGAAGCUGCGGAUGCAAGCUUGCUUGCAUGGUAGAGGAGCGUUCUGUAAGCCUGUGAAGGUGUGUCGAAAGGCAUGCUGGAGGUAUCGGAAGUGAGAAUGCUGACAUGAGUAACGUUAAUGGAGGUGAAAAACCUCCACGCCGAAAGCCCAAGGUUUCCUGCGCAACGUUAAUCGGCGCAGGGUUAGUCGGCACCUAAGGCGAGGCCGAAAGGCGUAGUCGAUGGAAAACAGGUUAAUAUUCCUGUACCUCAUAUUACUGCGAUGGGGGGACGGAGAAGGGUAGACAGCCAGCCGGGUGUUGGAUGUCCCGGUUUAAGCGUGUAGGGAGUGUUCUUAGGCAAAUCCGGGAGCACAAUCCUGAGACGUGAUGGGGAGUUCCCUUUGUGGAGCGAAGUGGUCGAUCCCAUGCUUCCAAGAAAAGCCUCUAAGCUUCAGGUAAUAGGAGACCGUACCCCAAACCGACACAGGUGGGCAGGGUGAGAAUCCCAAGGCGCUUGAGAGAACUCGGGUUAAGGAACUCGGCAAAUUGGCACCGUAACUUCGGAAGAAGGUGCGCCCUUGUUAGGUGAAGGACUUCGCGUCUGGAGCCGAAGAGGGCCGCAGUGACCAGGUAGCCGCGACUGUNNCCUAAAGUUGAGUGGGUUGGAGCAGAUCGUCCGACUUGCGAUGAAAAUGAAUCCAACGGGGAAAAGGAAAUACUCCGGUAGCGAGAUUCUCAACUCGUUACGAUCAGAUGAAGGUAUAGUCUAUGCCACGGGAAACCGUNNNNNNNNNNNNNNGAAAUUCCUUGUCGGGUAAGUUCCGACCUGCACGAAUGGCGUAACGAUGGCCACACUGUCUCCACCCGAGACUCAGUGAAAUUGAAAUCGCUGUGAAGAUGCAGCGUACCCGCGGCAAGACGGAAAGACCCCGUGCACCUUUACUACAGCUUCACACUGAACUUUGAACAUGUUUGUGUAGGAUAGGUGGGAGGCUUUGAAGCGGGGACGCCAGUUCCCGUGGAGCCAACCUUGAAAUACCACCCUGGCAUGUUUGAGGUUCUAACCGAGGCCCGUUAUCCGGGUCGGGGACCGUGUGUGGUGGGUAGUUUGACUGGGGCGGUCUCCUCCCAAAGAGUAACGGAGGAGCGCGAAGGUACCCUCAGCGCGGUCGGAAAUCGCGCAUUGAGUGCAAAGGCAUAAGGGUGCUUGACUGCGAGACAGACACGUCGAGCAGGUGCGAAAGCAGGUCUUAGUGAUCCGGUGGUUCUGUAUGGAAGGGCCA